AGAGUUUGAUCCUGGCUCAGGAUGAACGCUGGCGGCGUGCCUAAUACAUGCAAGUCGAGCGAACGGACGAGAAGCUUGCUUCUCUGAUGUUAGCGGCGGACGGGUGAGUAACACGUGGAUAACCUACCUAUAAGACUGGGAUAACUUCGGGAAACCGGAGCUAAUACCGGAUAAUAUUUUGAACCGCAUGGUUCAAAAGUGAAAGACGGUCUUGCUGUCACUUAUAGAUGGAUCCGCGCUGCAUUAGCUAGUUGGUAAGGUAACGGCUUACCAAGGCAACGAUGCAUAGCCGACCUGAGAGGGUGAUCGGCCACACUGGAACUGAGACACGGUCCAGACUCCUACGGGAGGCAGCAGUAGGGAAUCUUCCGCAAUGGGCGAAAGCCUGACGGAGCAACGCCGCGUGAGUGAUGAAGGUCUUCGGAUCGUAAAACUCUGUUAUUAGGGAAGAACAUAUGUGUAAGUAACUGUGCACAUCUUGACGGUACCUAAUCAGAAAGCCACGGCUAACUACGUGCCAGCAGCCGCGGUAAUACGUAGGUGGCAAGCGUUAUCCGGAAUUAUUGGGCGUAAAGCGCGCGUAGGCGGUUUUUUAAGUCUGAUGUGAAAGCCCACGGCUCAACCGUGGAGGGUCAUUGGAAACUGGAAAAACUUGAGUGCAGAAGAGGAAAGUGGAAUUCCAUGUGUAGCGGUGAAAUGCGCAGAGAUAUGGAGGAACACCAGUGGCGAAGGCGACUUUCUGGUCUGUAACUGACGCUGAUGUGCGAAAGCGUGGGGAUCAAACAGGAUUAGAUACCCUGGUAGUCCACGCCGUAAACGAUGAGUGCUAAGUGUUAGGGGGUUUCCGCCCCUUAGUGCUGCAGCUAACGCAUUAAGCACUCCGCCUGGGGAGUACGACCGCAAGGUUGAAACUCAAAGGAAUUGACGGGGACCCGCACAAGCGGUGGAGCAUGUGGUUUAAUUCGAAGCAACGCGAAGAACCUUACCAAAUCUUGACAUCCUUUGACAACUCUAGAGAUAGAGCCUUCCCCUUCGGGGGACAAAGUGACAGGUGGUGCAUGGUUGUCGUCAGCUCGUGUCGUGAGAUGUUGGGUUAAGUCCCGCAACGAGCGCAACCCUUAAGCUUAGUUGCCAUCAUUAAGUUGGGCACUCUAAGUUGACUGCCGGUGACAAACCGGAGGAAGGUGGGGAUGACGUCAAAUCAUCAUGCCCCUUAUGAUUUGGGCUACACACGUGCUACAAUGGACAAUACAAAGGGCAGCGAAACCGCGAGGUCAAGCAAAUCCCAUAAAGUUGUUCUCAGUUCGGAUUGUAGUCUGCAACUCGACUACAUGAAGCUGGAAUCGCUAGUAAUCGUAGAUCAGCAUGCUACGGUGAAUACGUUCCCGGGUCUUGUACACACCGCCCGUCACACCACGAGAGUUUGUAACACCCGAAGCCGGUGGAGUAACCUUUUAGGAGCUAGCCGUCGAAGGUGGGACAAAUGAUUGGGGUGAAGUCGUAACAAGGUAGCCGUAUCGGAAGGUGCGGCUGGAUCACCU
RNAcentral lists this ribosomal RNA (1541 nucleotides) under Staphylococcus aureus. RNAcentral describes it as "16S ribosomal RNA". It matches the Rfam family "Bacterial small subunit ribosomal RNA". The record is from RNAcentral. Lineage: Bacteria; Bacillati; Bacillota; Bacilli; Caryophanales; Staphylococcaceae.